UUCACACGACAAUGCAUCAAGGUGCUGCAGUGCGUGUCGUCGGCUCGUCCCGUGAGGUGUCGGGUUAAGUCCCAUAACGAGCGCAACCCAUCUCCAUUAGUUUCCUGCAGGUAAUGGUGGGGACUCUAAAGAGACCUGCCGUGGGUAACCAGAGAUGGAAGCUGGGGAUGACGUCACAAUCAGCACGGCCCUUACGUCCAUGGGCUACAUCACGUGUUCCAAUGGUCGGUACAAAGGGCUGCUACCUAGCGAUAUGAUGCCUAAUCUCAUAAAACCGGUCGUCAGUUCGGAUCGGAGUCUUCAACUUGACUCCGUGAAUGCUGGAUUCGCUACUAUUCGCAUAUCAGCCAUGAUGCGGCGAAUACGUUCCCGGGCCUUGUACACACCGCCCGUCAAACCAUAGAUGUUGGGCCUCC
Molecule: ribosomal RNA, 416 nt
Filed under: uncultured Cytophagales bacterium
Lineage: Bacteria; Pseudomonadati; Bacteroidota; Sphingobacteriia; Sphingobacteriales
Description: bacterial SSU rRNA
Rfam family: Bacterial small subunit ribosomal RNA
Source: RNAcentral